Molecule: ribosomal RNA, 685 nt
Filed under: uncultured Verrucomicrobiota bacterium
Lineage: Bacteria; Pseudomonadati; Verrucomicrobiota
Description: bacterial SSU rRNA
Rfam family: Bacterial small subunit ribosomal RNA
Source: RNAcentral
UUUUGGUAGCAAUACCGAAAGUAAUUCAGUGGCGAACGGGUGCGUAACACGUGGGCAAUCUGCCGAAAAGUGGGGGAUAGCUCGCCGAAAGGCGAAUUAAUACCGCAUGUGGUGAGGGACGACAUCUUCCUGAAUUCAAAGCCGGGGCAACCUGGCGCUUUUUGAGGAGCCCGCGGCCUAUCAGCUUGUUGGCGGGGUAACGGCCCACCAAGGCUUUGACGGGUAGCUGGUCUGAGAGGACGACCAGUCACACUGGAACUGAGACACGGUCCAGACACCUACGGGUGGCAGCAGUCGAGAAUUUUUCUCAAUGGGGGAAACCCUGAAGGAGCGACGCCGCGUGGAGGAUGAAGGCUUUCGGGUUGUAAACUCCUGUCAUUUGAGAACAAGUGCCAACAAGUAACUACUGUUGGCUUGAUAGUAUCAGAAGAGGAAGGGACGGCUAACUCUGUGCCAGCAGCCGCGGUAAUACAGAGGUCCCAAGCGUUGUUCGGAUUCAUUGGGCGUAAAGGGUGCGUAGGUGGCGCCGUAAGUCGGGUGUGAAAUUUCGGAGCUUAACUCCGAAGCUGCAUUCGAUACUGCGGUGCUUGAGGACUGGAGAGGAGACUGGAAUUUACGGUGUAGCAGUGAAAUGCGUAGAGAUCGUAAGGAAGACCAGUGGCGAAGGCGGGUCUCUGGACAGUUC